Molecule: ribosomal RNA, 257 nt
Filed under: uncultured bacterium
Lineage: Bacteria
Description: partial 16S ribosomal RNA
Rfam family: Bacterial small subunit ribosomal RNA
Source: RNAcentral
GAUGAACGCUAGCGGCAGGCUUAAUACAUGCAAGUCGAGGGGCAGCAGUCCCGCAGCAAUGCGGGAGCUGGCGACCGGCAAACGGGUGCGGAACACGUACAGAACCUUCCUUCGAGCGGGGAAUAGCCCAGAGAAAUUUGGAUUAAUACCCCAUAGCAUUACGAAGUGGCAUCACUUUGUAAUUAAAGAUUUAUCACUCGAAGAUGGCUGUGCGGCUGUANAGGUUAGUUGGCGGAGUAACGGCCCACCAAGCCUUC